This 371-nucleotide ribosomal RNA is filed under the name uncultured bacterium. Its description in RNAcentral is "bacterial SSU rRNA". It matches the Rfam family "Bacterial small subunit ribosomal RNA", at positions 527 to 896 of the family's 1533-position model. The record is from RNAcentral.
GUAGGGCGCAAGCGUUGUCCGGAAUUAUUGGGCGUAAAGAGCUCGUAGGCGGCUUGUCGCGUCGGAUGUGAAAGCCCGGGGCUUAACCCCGGGUCUGCAUUCGAUACGGGCAGGCUAGAGUUCGGUAGGGGAGAUCGGAAUUCCUGGUGUAGCGGUGAAAUGCGCAGAUAUCAGGAGGAACAUCGGAGGCGAAGGCGGAUCUCUGGGCCGAUACUGACGCUGAGGAGCGAAAGCGUGGGGAGCGAACAGGAUUAGAUACCCUGGUAGUCCACGCCGUAAACGGUGGGCACUAGGUGUGGGCAACAUUCCACGUUGUCCGUGCCGCAGCUAACGCAUUAAGUGCCCGCCUGGGGAGUACGGCCGCAAGGCUA